RNAcentral lists this ribosomal RNA (422 nucleotides) under uncultured bacterium. RNAcentral's name for it is "bacterial SSU rRNA". It matches the Rfam family "Bacterial small subunit ribosomal RNA", at positions 355 to 774 of the family's 1533-position model. The record is from RNAcentral.
UGAGGAAUAUUGGACAAUGGGCGCAAGCCUGAUCCAGCCAUGCCGCGUGCAGGAAGAAGCAUCUAUGGUGUGUAAACUGCUUUUGUACGGGAAGAAACACUCCUUCGUGAAGGAGCUUGACGGUACCGUAAGAAUAAGGAUCGGCUAACUCCGUGCCAGCAGCCGCGGUACUACGGAGGAUCCAAGCGUUAUCCGGAAUCAUUGGGUUUAAAGGGUCCGUAGGCGGUUUAGUAAGUCAGUGGUAAAAGCCCAUCGCUCAACGAUGGAACGGCCAUUGAUACUGCUAGACUUGAAUUACAAGGAAGUAACUAGAAUAUGUAGUGUAGCGGUGAAAUGCUUAGAUAUUACAUUGAAUACCAAUUGCGGAGGCAGGUUACUACGUGUGGAUUGACGCUGAUGGACGAAAGCGUGGGGAGCGAACA